AUCGAAGGUGUACUCUGGAGAGUAUGUUGCGCUGCCCAUCAAGGAGGAGCCUACCUUCAAUUAUGCUCGCAAGCUUCUGGACAAGGUGGUAGAGCUCUGCCAUAAAUGGCCUACAUUUGAUGACGCAUGGGCUGCAAACCCUCCCGAUGAACUGCCUAGUCUAACGAAGAACGAGCCCCCUGUAGACAAGAGGGCACUUGUAGAGGCCAGGCAACACCGUCUAGAGAUGUGUCGCUGCUGCCUGUGCAAGGAAGAUUCGCAAAUGUAGGUCUAAAUCCAGUGUAGUACGUUGAAGGGAACUUUUCCCGAAUUGCCCACACAACACAUGAUGGCAGCACAUGACGGUUCCCUUCGCCAAGGUGCCCCCAGAGCCAGGAUGCACACUGCCGGUAGGCAACAUAGCGGUACCUCCUGUAACAAACGGAACAACAUCAUUAUGACGAGAACUGUAUUUUUCUCCUACAGGGUCUGCUGCUUCAUGGCCGUGGGCCAGCAUGUCAUUUAUUGAACAUGACACUGGAGAUGACACAUUUUGUUUGACAACUUCAAUUUGAGCUUUCAGAAAGCAGCUUGCAGGUGAGUGACUACGAAAGAGUGAAACUGAACCGCAAGACCGAUAGAAUCAUCUGUGUGGAAGGCUAGCUUAUCAUACUACGCACUGGGGACAAGGCAUUUACUUCAUGGCAGUUUCCAUCUGUAGCUUUCAGAGAAACAGUGACUACCUAUAUUACUCUGACACUCAUGCAAUCACCUCUGGAAGAGAGCAUUACGGAUGGUCUGGAGGAAUGCAUGUGGAGACAUCUGAAGACUCUAAACAAAUUUUAUGAAAUGGUAAUGCAGCUGCGUUUGUGUUUCACUGGUACGUUGGAGUCUUACAAUUUCCCUUUGACUUUUGUUGCGCAUGAGAGCAUCGUCAUGGAUGGCCUGGAAGAACGCAUGUGGAGACCUCUGAAGACUCUAAACAAAUUUUAUGAAAUGGUAAUGCAGCUGCGUUUGUGUUUCACUGGUACGUUGGAGUCUUACAAUUUCCCUUUGACUUUUGUUGUGCAUCAGAGCAUCGUCAUGGAUGGUCUGGAGGAACGCAUGUGGAGACAUCUGAAGACUCUAAACAAAUUUUAUGAAAUGGUAAUGCAGCUGCGUUUGUGUUUCACUGGUACGUUGGAGUCUUACAAUUUCCCUUUGACUUUUGUUGCGCAUGAGAGCAUCGUCAUGGAUGGCCUGGAAGAACGCAUGUGGAGACAUCUGAAGACUCUAAACAAAUUUUAUGAAAUGGUAAUGCAGUUGCGUUUGUGUUUCACUGGUACGUUGGAGUCUUACAAUUUCCCUUUGACUUUUGUUGCGCAUGAGAGCAUCGUCAUGGAUG
Molecule: long non-coding RNA, 1363 nt
Organism: Ornithodoros turicata
Lineage: Eukaryota; Metazoa; Arthropoda; Arachnida; Ixodida; Argasidae
Exons: 3
Source: RefSeq, a predicted model, not a curated record